GCCUUAGUAACGGCGAGUGAAGCGGCAACAGCUCAAAUUUGAAAGCUGGCCCUUUCAGGGUCCGCGUUGUAAUUUGUAGAGGAUGAUUCGGCGAGGGCUCCCGCCUAAGUCCCCUGGAACGGGGCGUCAUAGAGGGUGAGAAUCCCGUAUGCGGUGGGCUGCCUUAGCCAUGUGAAUCUCCUUCGACGAGUCGAGUUGUUUGGGAAUGCAGCUCUAAAUGGGAGGUAAAUUUCUUCUAAAGCUAAAUACCGGCCAGAGACCGAUAGCGCACAAGUAGAGUGAUCGAAAGAUGAAAAGCACUUUGGAAAGAGAGUUAAAAAGUACGUGAAAUUGUUGAAAGGGAAGCGCUUGCAACCAGACUUGUCCGCAGUUGCUCAGCCGGUCUCCUGACCGGCGUACUCUUCUGCGGCCAGGCCAGCAUCAGUUCGGGCGGUCGGAUAAAGACCUCGGGAAUGUGGCUCCUCUCGGGGAGUGUUAUAGCCCGGGGUGGAAUGCGGCCAGCCUGGACUGAGGAUCUCGCUUCGGCAAGGAUGCUGGCGUAAUGGUUGUAAGCGGCCCGUCUUGAAACACGGACCAAGGAGUCUAACAUCUAUGCGAGUGUUGGGGUGGAAA
Molecule: ribosomal RNA, 612 nt
Filed under: Diplodia corticola
Lineage: Eukaryota; Fungi; Ascomycota; Dothideomycetes; Botryosphaeriales; Botryosphaeriaceae
Description: partial large subunit ribosomal RNA
Rfam family: Eukaryotic large subunit ribosomal RNA
Source: RNAcentral